GUCUGACUUCUUAGCUGAUAGAGAGAGAAUAGUCAUCCUUCUGUACAGGAGAGGAUCUGGCUUACCUCGGCCUCACAUUUACCCCAAGAAGGUAAAGAGCCCAAUACACUCCAUCUGUAAGAAGUCUGUCCAUGGUGAAGUUUCAACUCCAGAACCUUUUGGACAGUCAAGCUCAAUUCAUUUCCCCAGGAAACUCAACUAUUUAGACAGGGCAGAGAGUGAAGAAUGCAGUUAAAAUCCAUUUUCCAACAGGUUGGAAGAAUUUCACUGGGGAUCCUUUAUGGUAGGAGGGAAGAAGAGGAAGAAAUUCUCCUUGGUAUCAAUUUAUUCCUGUUAUCUUAUGUGGCUCUGUGGGAAGGGUGCUAUUGGAAGAUAUUGAAGACACCAAAAUCCGGAAGUCCCCAACUUUUACUGAAAAGCCAGUAAAGUAUAGGUUGCAUUUGAACUCGAUUAAGUUCCUGUACUGAUGUCUCAUCUUGGCAAAGGUGACCUUGUACUCUCCAAGUCAAUGCCAGAGGGAUCACCAUCUUGUCAGCUUCUCCCAAGCCAUAAAGGCCUUGAGUCUGGGUCUAGCAAUGAAUUCGGUGUUCUUCAGCCUAGACAAGUUCACCCCAGAGGCUGAACCACUUGGUAAUGAUUAUUUUGGCCAAAGAUACUCACCAGCUGAUUACUAAGCAGGGAGGGAGAAACAGUGUGGGAUAAUAGAGCAGUGGACUGAGAUUCAGUAAGAC
This 731-nucleotide long non-coding RNA is filed under the name Phascolarctos cinereus (koala). RNAcentral describes it as "lncRNA (ENSPCIG00000006757.2)". Lineage: Eukaryota; Metazoa; Chordata; Mammalia; Diprotodontia; Phascolarctidae. The record is from RNAcentral.